GGAGAGGUACUGAAGUGGCCAUAACAGCGCCGACUCGAAAUCGGAUGGCCGGAGAAAUCCGGCACGUGGGUUCGAAUCCCACCCUCUCCGCCA
RNAcentral lists this transfer RNA (93 nucleotides) under Methylogaea oryzae. Its description in RNAcentral is "tRNA-Ser". It matches the Rfam family "tRNA". From Rfam's summary of the family: Transfer RNA (tRNA) molecules are approximately 80 nucleotides in length. Their secondary structure includes four short double-helical elements and three loops (D, anti-codon, and T loops). Lineage: Bacteria; Pseudomonadati; Pseudomonadota; Gammaproteobacteria; Methylococcales; Methylococcaceae. The record is from RNAcentral.